This 456-nucleotide ribosomal RNA is filed under the name uncultured bacterium. RNAcentral's name for it is "bacterial SSU rRNA". It matches the Rfam family "Bacterial small subunit ribosomal RNA", at positions 1 to 498 of the family's 1533-position model. The record is from RNAcentral.
UUUAGAGUUUGAUUCCUGGCUCAGAGCGAACGCUAGCGGCGGGCUUAACACAUGCAAGUCGCACGAGCCUUCGGGCGAGUGGCGAACGGGUGAGUAACACGUGGAUAACCUGCCCUCUGGAGGGGGAUAACCCGGGGAAACCCGGGCUAAUACCGCGUAUGGCCUACGGGUCAAAGCCUUCGGGCGCCAGAGGAUGGGUCCGCGGCCCAUUAUUUAAUCCUGGUUGGUGGGGUAAUGGCCUACCAAGGGUACGAUGGGUAGCUGGUCUGAGAGGACGAUCAGCCACACUGGGACUGAGACACGGCCCAGACUCCUACGGGAGGCAGCAGUGGGGAAUAUUGCGCAAUGGGCGAAAGCCUGACGCAGCCACGCCGCGUGAGUGAUGAAGGCCUUCGGGUUGUAAAGCUCUGUCGGGAGGGAAGAAGAUCUGACGUACCUCCCAAGAAAGCACCGGCA